RNAcentral lists this ribosomal RNA (497 nucleotides) under uncultured bacterium. RNAcentral describes it as "partial 16S ribosomal RNA". It matches the Rfam family "Bacterial small subunit ribosomal RNA", at positions 28 to 507 of the family's 1533-position model. The record is from RNAcentral.
GAUGAACGCUGGCGGCGUGCCUAAUACAUGCAAGUCGAGCGAACAGACGAGGAGCUUGCUCCUCUGACGUUAGCGGCGGACGGGUGAGUAACACGUGGAUAACCUACCUAUAAGACUGGGAUAACUUCGGGAAACCGGAGCUAAUACCGGAUAAUAUAUUGAACCGCAUGGUUCAAUAGUGAAAGACGGUUUUGCUGUCGCUUAUAGAUGGAUCCGCGCCGCAUUAGCUAGUUGGUAAGGUAACGGCUUACCAGGGCAACGAUGCGUAGCCGACCUGAGAGGGUGAUCGGCCACACUGGAACUGAGACACGGUCCAGACUCCUACGGGAGGCAGCAGUAGGGAAUCUUCCGCAAUGGGCGAAAGCCUGACGGAGCAACGCCGCGUGAGUGAUGAAGGUCUUCGGAUCGUAAAACUCUGUUAUUAGGGAAGAACAAAUGUGUAAGUAACUAUGCACGUCUUGACGGUACCUAAUCAGAAAGCCACGGCUAACUACGUG